ACAGCAUGACACACUGCAUAUCAAUAAGCGGAGGAAAAGAAACUAACAAGGAUUCCCCUAGUAACGGCGAGUGAAGCGGGAAGAGCUCAAAUUUGAAAUCUUAAAGGGUUUUCCUUUACGAAUUGUAGUUUAAAGAAGUGUUUUCUGUUGGAGUUUCGGUAAAAGUUCUUUGGAAUAGGACAUCAUAGAGGGUGAGAAUCCCGUAUUUGACCGUUACUUUCCAGCUGUGUGAUACACUUUCAAAGAGUCGGAUUGUUUGGGAAUGCAGUCCAAAUGGGUGGUAAAUUUCAUCUAAAGCUAAAUAUUGGCGAGAGACCGAUAGCGAACAAGUACCGUGAGGGAAAGAUGAAAAGAACUUUGAAAAGAGAGUUAAACAGUACGUGAAAUUGUCAAAAGGGAAGCGUUUGACACCAGUGUUGUUUUUCCGAAAAUCAAUUAUAAAUGCUUGAUUUGCAGGUUGUCAUGACCUUAUAAGCUUGUUCAUUAUUGGUUUCAUGGUCUUUCGUAUGCACUUUUCGGUUAACAAGUCAACAUCAAUUUCCUUUGUUGUAAAAGGUUAAGAGGAAGGUGGCUUUCAAUUUCGGUAGAAGUGUUUAUAGCCUUGUACCUCUGCAAUCGGAGAGAUUGAGGUCUGCAGCGUAGAUCCUUCGGGGUUAGAUACAUUUAUGCUAAGUUAUAGCUUUUCAUAGACAACUUGUUGACUAUGUUUAGUCAUUGUAGCUUACUCGCUUAUGCUAUUUUACCUACGCUUAGGAUGUUGAGCGCAUGUCUCUCUCU
RNAcentral lists this ribosomal RNA (777 nucleotides) under uncultured Neocallimastigales. RNAcentral's name for it is "partial large subunit ribosomal RNA". It matches the Rfam family "Eukaryotic large subunit ribosomal RNA", at positions 16 to 616 of the family's 3401-position model. Lineage: Eukaryota; Fungi; Neocallimastigomycota; Neocallimastigomycetes; Neocallimastigales. The record is from RNAcentral.